This 76-nucleotide transfer RNA is filed under the name Planctomycetota bacterium. RNAcentral's name for it is "tRNA-Thr". It matches the Rfam family "tRNA". Rfam says of the family: Transfer RNA (tRNA) molecules are approximately 80 nucleotides in length. The record is from RNAcentral. Lineage: Bacteria; Pseudomonadati; Planctomycetota.
GCUGGCGUAGCUCAACUGGUAGAGCACCGCAUUCGUAAUGCGGAGGUUACGAGUUCAACUCUCGUCGCCAGCUCCA